Molecule: long non-coding RNA, 1006 nt
Filed under: Olea europaea subsp. europaea
Lineage: Eukaryota; Viridiplantae; Streptophyta; Magnoliopsida; Lamiales; Oleaceae
Source: RNAcentral
CGUAAAGAGUGUAACCUUUUAAACUAAAUCUCGAAUAGCAAAGAGCAUUUAUUUUUUUAUUUUUUUUUGAUAACCAUGGGUGUCCGAGCCAGCUUACGCGCCCCUCGACUAAUCCCAUGGGGCCCUGAAUAGCAAAGAGCAUUUAUGAAAAAAUUUAAUUUUCAGCCCAUUCUAACAUAUCUUUCUGGCUCCGUCCUUGGCCAUCACGUUUAAAUGAAAUAUACUGACGAUAUGUCGGGCCAUCGAAAGACUUUCAUAUUGAGUAAAUUCUUGCUAAAAAAAAUGAUGGUAUGAGCAUGAACACCGUUGAACUUUGUUACAUGAUGGGUUACUGUUUCAUAGUUUUAAAGGAAUUGAUUAUUAAUAUUUUGUUAGUUACCUGCCUGUAAGUGUCUAUUUGCUAUUUUAUUUUGUUCUAUACAUUAUGAGAUUUUAUUAAACGAGUGUUAAAAUAAGACCAGUGGCAUUAGCACCCGUCAAUCAACUACCGUCUGAUGAACCCAAGGUAUGGAAGAAAUGCUAUGUUUAAGCUUACUUUCAAGCAUGAUUUAUUAAUCAUUUAAGCUUGAUUCCAUGAAAUGCUUAUAAUGUUAGAAUGAAAUGUGUUAAGCAAGUUUUUAUUUUUGUACAUAAAGAUAUGGUGAUUGGUCAUCUAAUUAAAGGUCCAAGAGCAGAAUGUAUAAGAUGAUUGACAAAGAUAGAACAUAAUUGAAUAUUUAUGUGAUAUACAUGGAUAAAACUUAUCAAGUCACUAGAAAGAGGAGAAAAUAAAAGUCACAUCUUUAGAGCUUUUUGACUAAAUAAGAUAAUUUCGAGGACGAAAUUAAUUUAAGGGGAAAGGGAUGUAACACCCCGCAUUUUUUUACUAUAUGGACCUAAACUUAUCAUUUAGCAAAUGAAGAUUUGUCGUUAUAUUAAAAGUCCAAAGUUGAAGUGGUAGACUUGACUCGCUUAUUUGUACAAAUAACUUAUUUGCUUACGUGCAUUUUUUGAAAUAUUAUAUGGG